This 427-nucleotide ribosomal RNA is filed under the name uncultured Desulfovibrionales bacterium. RNAcentral's name for it is "partial 16S ribosomal RNA". It matches the Rfam family "Bacterial small subunit ribosomal RNA", at positions 355 to 774 of the family's 1533-position model. Lineage: Bacteria; Pseudomonadati; Thermodesulfobacteriota; Desulfovibrionia; Desulfovibrionales. The record is from RNAcentral.
UGGGGAAUAUUGCGCAAUGGGCGAAAGCCUGACGCAGCGACGCCGCGUGAGGGACGAAGGCCUUCGGGUCGUAAACCUCUGUCAGAAGGGAAGAAAUGUAGUGAUGCUAAUCAGUUGCUAUUUGACGGUACCUUCAAAGGAAGCACCGGCUAACUCCGUGCCAGCAGCCGCGGUAAUACGGAGGGUGCAAGCGUUAAUCGGAAUCACUGGGCGUAAAGCGCGCGUAGGCUGUUUGUUAAGUCAGGGGUGAAAUCCCACCGCUCAACGGUGGAACUGCCUUUGAUACUGGCAAACUUGAGAAUGGGAGAGGGUGGCAGAAUUCCAGGUGUAGGAGUGAAAUCCGUAGAUAUCUGGAGGAAUACCGGUGGCGAAGGCGGCCACCUGGCCCAUAUCUGACGCUGAGGUGCGAAAGCGUGGGGAGCAAACA